CAGACGGGGUCUGAACACUUUUGUAAGUGUGGACUUUUCUUUUCUUGUGCAUGUGUGCGGGAGAAGGCGAAUUGAGAACAGGAGGGCAAGUCUGGUGCCAGCAGCCGCGGUAAAUCCAGCCCCAAUGGCGUAUAUUUGAGUUGUUGCAGUUAAAUAAGCUCGUAGUUGGAUUUCUGUUUUGGAUGUCCGGUUCGUUUCCUUUAAAAAAUGUCCUUAUAGAUGUUUGACGCACUUUUUUGAGGCUGCCUUUCUGCCAUUAAGUUGGUGGGUUGGUGGGCUUGCAUCGUUUACUGUGAAAAAAUCGAGUGUUUAAAGCAGGCGUUAGCUCGCNNNNNNNNNNGCAAUAAUUACUUUUGGAGUAAGCGGAUUGCGAUCCGCUAACUCGUACUUGUUCUAAGAACAGAACAAAAGGUCUG
This 416-nucleotide non-coding RNA is filed under the name Plasmopara halstedii. RNAcentral describes it as "Eukaryotic small subunit ribosomal RNA". It matches the Rfam family "Eukaryotic small subunit ribosomal RNA", at positions 459 to 880 of the family's 1831-position model. The record is from Rfam by way of RNAcentral. Lineage: Eukaryota; Oomycota; Peronosporomycetes; Peronosporales; Peronosporaceae.